GCUGAGGUAUAUUUAGUGAUUGCUAUUACAGUAGCACAUAUCAAGUUUACAAAAUAACCAAUAAAUUGCAAUGUGCAUGUAUAAACAGACAGAAAUAAUUCAUAUCCAUCUAUCAAGAUUCUAACUGGAAAUCUAAAUUAACCAGGCCUCUUAUAUGGUACUUGAAGAUAUAAUGGCAAAGUCAUACAUUGGGGGUAUUGUUUUACUCAGAAAAGAAAGCUAAGCAUAAUUUAGGAUUUUGUAUAGGAGUAGCACACUCCAGGUAUAUGAAAUACAUAUUUUAAAAAACCUUGUGUGUAUGUAAAAAAACGAAAACAGAAAAAAAAUAGACAAUUUUAGCAGAUAUUGGCUAUCAAAUAGCUAUGUAAAAGUGGCAAAAUACCCUG
Molecule: non-coding RNA, 386 nt
Organism: Pelobates cultripes (western spadefoot toad)
Lineage: Eukaryota; Metazoa; Chordata; Amphibia; Anura; Pelobatidae
Source: the annotation of a GenBank genome assembly